GGCGGAACAGUGCUGCGCCACGAAACGCACAAAACGGUCCACGAUCCGCGAGGCGAAACACCCAAAUCCAAAAAAAUAAAAAGAAUAGAAUAAAAUAAAACUCGUGCGUCCGGCCGCACGCGAUAUGUGCUGAAAUAAUUAGACGCAGCGCCGUUUUUCGGGGGUGGAGGCCCGUGCCGUAAUUAUAUUGCAACAGUGCCGCUGCGUGAACAAUGUCUAACUGUAAGGUGUGGUUAGACAACUACAAUGGUCAGUACUUUCCUGGCAAUCUCAUCCAAGGCAAGUUUAUAUGCAACUUGGACAGUGAAUCGCCACUUAGAGCUGUCAAAAUACGAAUUGUCGGAAGUGAACAUACGGAAUGGUUGGGAGAACAAAAGACCACGAACCCAACAGACAAUUCCACGAAAAAUGAAACUUGUAACUUCAUAGGAGAUAAUAAUUUCCUGUUUCAUGAGAUUAUCCUUUAUGGAGCAGAAACUGGCAGUACUAGUCUGUCUGCUGGUCAACAUAUCUACCCGUUCAGCUACAAUUUACCCCACAAUCUACCCACUAGUUUCGGGUGUCCCAACGGCAACAUAACUUACAGGGUCCAUGGAAUAAUAGACCGCCCCAUGAGACAAGAUUUCGAAGACCAAUUCUUGUUUGUCGUCAACGCACCAAUUGACUUAAAUCGGGUCGAACAAACUCCAGACCUCUUAGGACCUUCGUCUUAUUCUGAUGAAAAAACUGUGUGCUGCUUCUGCUGUGCAUCCGGACCAAUUUCUAUGGAUGUUCAGUUACCUAAAAAAGCAUGUAUACCUGGAGAAACCGUUUCAAUGCACGUUAGAAUCUCAAACCAGUCGAAUGUCAAUGUUGAUAGUUUAAAAGUUACGCUGAAACAACGGUUAACAUUUAUGGCCAAUGUGCCAAGUACCUCGGAAAAAGUAGAUGGGAGGGAUUUAGCCACCGUUCAAGAUGUUGGAGUGGGAGCCCAUGGGGAACACACCUACAACGUUCAAUUACCAAUACCACCUGAAACUUUCCUGCCCAACUUUGACCAGUGUAAACUAUUCAAAGCGUCACACAUUUACGAGGUUCGAGCUGCCUUACCUUCCUACCACAAAGAUUUGGUUAUAAAAAUCAAGCCAAUAGUGGGAAAUAUCCCACCAGGUGGCCAAAUUCCUCCACAACCACCUGCAGGAGAAUCUCAAGGUCAACCGGGUGGUUUCCCUCUAGCAACUGCUCCAGGAGGAUUCCCACCACAAGGACCACCACCUGGCGGAAUUCCAGCUCAAGGUGCUCCAGGAGGAUUUCCUCCGCAAGGAUACCCAGGUGGCCCAGGCGGCCCACCUCAAGGAUUCCCGCCACAGGGAUAUCCCGGUGGACCCCCGCCUCCGGGAGGUUACCCAUACGCCGGUGGUGAUCCGCAAGGGUACCCUGGCGGUGCCCCACCUCAAGGGUAUCCCGGCGGUGCGCCACCUCAAGGGUAUCCUGGCGGACCUCCGGGACCGAUGGGAUUCGCUAGCCCUGGCGGAGUCUACCCACAAUUGCCUGCUCAACCAGGAGCACCAACUGCACCCACAAACGGUUAGAUAAUAAGUUUUAAUUGUGUUACUCCAAAGCUCAAGAAGCUGGUGAAACGACCAAUUCAAGGGAUCUACCUCCAUCAUAUGAUUCUGUGAAGCCUCAAUAAAGCGCAUACUGUCAGCUUGCAUUGUCACUACAUACGCUUAAAAAGUGAAUACACAUAUUAUUACUGUCUGUCAGAAACGAAAACAUUUGUUUGAACAUUUUUAAUCUUUUAGUAGUGUUUUAUUCAAUGUGUGUGUAGUUUUACAUAUAUUUUAUAGUAUAUUUUUGUAAUUAUUUUCUAUUUUUGCUGAAAUUAAACGGGCUUUUAAAGUA
This is an RNA transcript of Aethina tumida (small hive beetle), 1884 nucleotides long. It is a transcript of the gene named arrestin domain-containing protein 3, with no coding region annotated. The transcript has 8 exons. The record is from RefSeq and is a predicted model, not a curated record. Lineage: Eukaryota; Metazoa; Arthropoda; Insecta; Coleoptera; Nitidulidae.